Ciona savignyi (Pacific transparent sea squirt) is the source of this 82-nucleotide non-coding RNA. Lineage: Eukaryota; Metazoa; Chordata; Ascidiacea; Phlebobranchia; Cionidae. The record is from Rfam.
GGUAGCGUGGCCGAGCGGUCUAAGGCGCUGGUUUUAGGCACCAAUCAUUUCGAUGGCGUAGAUUCGAAUCCCACCGCUGCCA